GAGCGGCGAACGGGUGAGUAACACGUGAGUAACCUGCCCCUGACUCUGGGAUAAGCCUGGGAAACUGGGUCUAAUACCGGAUAUGACACCUCCCUGCAUGGGGUGGGUGUGGAAAGUUUUUUCGGUUGGGGAUGGGCUCGCGGCCUAUCAGCUUGUUGGUGGGGUAGUGGCCUACCAAGGCGACGACGGGUAGCCGGCCUGAGAGGGCGACCGGCCACACUGGGACUGAGACACGGCCCAGACUCCUACGGGAGGCAGCAGUGGGGAAUAUUGCGCAAUGGGCGGAAGCCUGACGCAGCGACGCCGCGUGGGGGAUGACGGCCUUCGGGUUGUAAACCUCUUUCAGCAGGGACGAAGUUGACGUGUACCUGUAGAAGAAGCGCCGGCUAACUACGUGCCAGCAGCCGCGGUAAUACGUAGGGCGCAAGCGUUGUCCGGAAUUAUUGGGCGUAAAGAGCUCGUAGGUGGCUUGUUGCGUCUGCCGUGAAAGCCCGUGGCUUAACUGCGGGUCUGCGGUGGAUACGGGCAGGCUAGAGGCUGGUAGGGGCAAGCGGAAUUNCCU
This 562-nucleotide ribosomal RNA is filed under the name Planotetraspora sp. 387D02. Its description in RNAcentral is "bacterial SSU rRNA". It matches the Rfam family "Bacterial small subunit ribosomal RNA", at positions 93 to 672 of the family's 1533-position model. The record is from RNAcentral. Lineage: Bacteria; Bacillati; Actinomycetota; Actinomycetes; Streptosporangiales; Streptosporangiaceae.